This 151-nucleotide ribosomal RNA is filed under the name Gambierdiscus sp. C-6. RNAcentral describes it as "5.8S rRNA". Lineage: Eukaryota; Dinophyceae; Gonyaulacales; Pyrocystaceae. The record is from RNAcentral.
AGUCAGCAAUGGAUGCCUUGGUUCAGAAGACUGUUAAGGAUACAGCCAAGUGUGGUUUGCAGUACGACUUGCACAAGUCCGUGAGCAUGUGAAAGCUGAACGCCGCAUGUGCCCUUGGGACAGUCCGAAAGGUGUGCUCAAUUUGAAGCAG